Triticum dicoccoides is the source of this 983-nucleotide long non-coding RNA. RefSeq lists it as uncharacterized. The record is from RefSeq and is a predicted model, not a curated record. The transcript is spliced from 4 exons. Lineage: Eukaryota; Viridiplantae; Streptophyta; Magnoliopsida; Poales; Poaceae.
GUAACAUGAGUUUGAUCUUAUUUGCAUGGCAAAUGAUGAGUGCAAGGAAGGAAAGGUGCACAUGAUCAACGCUGAAGAUGUCUUCAAGGCGCUCUAUGAGAUUGAGUUCCCAGAGUUUGUUGAGCCCCUGAGAACUGCAUUGUAAGGAUAUCUGUGGCAUUUGUUCUUAUUAGGGUGUCAAUGCUGGCGAUGAAAAGAUUAUUAAUGCUCUUAUUUGGGUGUCAAUGCUGGAAGCUGCUCAUGAGAAAUGUAACUUGAAGGUAUAAUAUAUCUAUUCAAUGUCGAGCCUCUGUCCCCCUCUUCCAAAAGUUUGCUUGAUCGCGCCCGCGCCAUGGCCGCCGAGCUCCUUUUUGCUCCACCCGCCAACCAGAUUGGCCGAUGAGGCGGAUUGCCUCGAGGCGGUGGACCAUGGAGGCAAGGAGGUCAUCCAUGGGGGUGACAGUCAGCUGCGUGACAUGAAUUUUGACACUGUAUGAGAGUCAUCCUUUGCAACAACUGAUAGCUAUAUUCUUCAUACUAAUCUAUUACUGUAUCAACAACAUGAAUGGAUCAAAUCAAAAUCUUCUUUCAAGAGUAAAUGGUGCUUCUGUUGCAUCUUGUGAAAACAACAAUUACAGUAUUGAUAAAGAAACCAACUCAUCUGAGAUUAAAUCAGCAAAUAAGGUAGCAUGUCCUCUAAUUAGGUUUUUGUUCUCCAAGUUUCUUUCAGUCAAUUCUUUACCUUGUGCUUUCAGGUUUCAAACAAUAUUUAUGGUUGUUCGGAUGAAAAGAAUUGGCGAGCAUGAUUUUCCUUGUCCUCUCAAUAAUAUGAUACAACAACCGAAUAAUUGUGCUCGUGAAACAAGAAAAUGACCAAAAGCUAGCAUCACAGUUUAUGAACCUGACAUGGGUGUCUAUUUAACUUCUAAUAUGAGUUCUUUUGUUCGGCUAUAUUCUUCUGGAACAGUCACUACAGGAACAAAUCAUCGUGUUCUUCUUUUGGA